This 253-nucleotide ribosomal RNA is filed under the name uncultured bacterium. Its description in RNAcentral is "partial 16S ribosomal RNA". It matches the Rfam family "Bacterial small subunit ribosomal RNA", at positions 524 to 776 of the family's 1533-position model. The record is from RNAcentral.
UACGGAGGGUGCAAGCGUUGCUCGGAAUCACUGGGCGUAAAGAGCGUGUAGGCGGCCAGAUAGGUCUGCUGUGAAAACUCGAGGCUCAACCUCGAGCUGUCGGCGGAAACCAUCCGGCUAGAGUCCGGAAGAGGAGAGUGGAAUUCCCGGUGUAGCGGUGAAAUGCGCAGAUAUCGGGAAGAACACCUGUGGCGAAGGCGGCUCUCUGGGACGGUACUGACGCUGAGACGCGAAAGCGUGGGGAGCAAACAGG